AGUGAACGCUGGCGGUAGGCCUAACACAUGCAAGUCGAACGGCAGCACAGUAAGAGCUUGCUCUUACGGGUGGCGAGUGGCGGACGGGUGAGGAAUACAUCGGAAUCUACUUUUUCGUGGGGGAUAACGUAGGGAAACUUACGCUAAUACCGCAUACGACCUACGGGGGAAAGCAGGGGAACUUCGGACCUUGCGGGAUUGAAUGAGCCGAUGUCGGAUUAGCUAGUUGGCGGGGUAAAGGCCCACCAUGGCGACGAUCCGUAGCUGGUCUGGGAGGAUGAUCGCCCACACUGGAACUUGAACACGGUCCAGACUCCUGCGGGAGGCAGCAGUGGGGAAUGUUGGACAAUGGGCGCAAGCCUGGUCCAGCCAUCCCGCGUGGGUGAAGAAGGCCUUCGGGUUGUGAAGCCCUUUUGUUGGGAAAGAAAAGCAGCAGGUUAAUACCCCGCUGUUCUGACGGUACCCAAAGAAUAAGCACCGGCUAACUUCGUG
This 492-nucleotide ribosomal RNA is filed under the name uncultured bacterium. RNAcentral's name for it is "partial 16S ribosomal RNA". It matches the Rfam family "Bacterial small subunit ribosomal RNA", at positions 29 to 507 of the family's 1533-position model. The record is from RNAcentral.